GCGUUGGACUAGUAAACAGCAGGUAGCCUAGUGGUUAGAGUGUUGGACUAGUAAACAGCAGGUAGCCUAGUGGUUAGAGCGUUGGACUAGUAACCAGCAGGUAGCCUAGUGGUUAGAGCGUUGGACUAGUAAACAGCAGGUAGCCUAGUGGUUAGAGCGUUGGACUAGUAACCAGCAGGUAGCCUAGUGGUUAGAGCGUUGGACUAGUAACCAGCAGGUAGCCUAGUGGUUAGAGCGUUGGACUAGUAACCAGCAGGUAGCCUAGUGGUUAGAGCGUUGGACUAGUAACCAGCAGGUAGCCUAGUGGUUAGAGCGUUGGACUAGUAACCAGCAGGUAGCCUAGUGGUUAGAGCGUUGGACUAGUAACCAGCAGGUAGCCUAGUGGUUAGAGCGUUGGACUAGUAAACAGCAGGUAGCCUAGUGGUUAGAGCGUUGGACUAGUAACCAGCAGGUAGCCUAGUGGUUAGAGCGUUGGACUAGUAACCAGCAGGUAGUCUAGUGGUUAGAGCGUUGGACUAGUAAACAGCAGGUAGCCUAGUGG
Molecule: long non-coding RNA, 541 nt
Organism: Oncorhynchus keta (chum salmon)
Lineage: Eukaryota; Metazoa; Chordata; Actinopteri; Salmoniformes; Salmonidae
Exons: 3
Source: RefSeq, a predicted model, not a curated record